Molecule: long non-coding RNA, 940 nt
Organism: Ostrea edulis (European flat oyster)
Lineage: Eukaryota; Metazoa; Mollusca; Bivalvia; Ostreida; Ostreidae
Exons: 2
Source: RefSeq, a predicted model, not a curated record
GGGAAUCCUGUGGAUGGCUAGUACAUCUGAAGGGUCGAUUGCCACGCCCACCGUUUCUUUCAAUAUGGCGCGUAACUCUUCACGAAGAUUUCCCUGCGCCUUUUCCUUCCACCCUAGAAAUUGGAUGUUGUUUUUCUGGGAAUAUUGCUGAUAAGGGUUCGCCAAGGUUAAUGCAGAUUCUGUCAGUGUUUGAUAUCGUUUCAUUGUGUUUUGCAAUGAUCUUAAUUCUUCCAUGUGCUCUUGGAAUUUUUCUCUAAUGUUCACACUAAAUCUGUUAUCUCUGUAGUUUCAAACACAAACUCUUUAACUUUUAGGUCAAUUUUGUUUUCUAAUUCAUCUUUAACCUGGGCUUUGACACUAUCUACGAUUUCUUUUUUCAAUGCCUCUUUAACGUCUUUAAUAAUUUCUUUCUUUAUGUAAUAGUGUUUAUUAAUUGAUUUAAAUUAAUAAAUCUACACAAAUUUGUAUAUAGAUUUCAAAUUAAACAUUAUAUGAAUAACCACUACAUUGAGAUGUGUUUUAUGCUCAUCCAAGUAGAACAGGCAGUACCUGUUCUGAUUUAUUGAAUUUUGCCUUAGGUCAUUAUAAUCAAACUUUUGUAAAUAGGUUUGAAAGUGUUCGAAGUUCCUAUUGGUUUUAGUGUUGUUAGCUGGUGUUUUAUUGGUCAGUUCUUUUUCCCUCCAAAAGUUCUUGGUGGUGUUCAGUCAUUCUUUGUCUAGUUGGUUUAUAGAGAAGUUGGUGAAAAUAUAUGACAGAUAUUUGACUGUUGACUGAUCAUUUCUUUAACAAGUCAAUCUCCAUGGACAUUUUUGUUAAAUGAGGGAUUAUUGCCACAUCACUUAUUCCCAUAGAAUGAGUGUCAUACACAUACAUAUACAUGUAUAUCUAAAGCUUAGAUUCUGGCAAUAAAAUGGAGGUGAUCGACAUCUAAGAACCCAUA